UGAUGUUGUAGUUCACGGUGACGUUGC
This 27-nucleotide non-coding RNA is filed under the name Homo sapiens (human). The record is from RNAcentral. Lineage: Eukaryota; Metazoa; Chordata; Mammalia; Primates; Hominidae.